This 468-nucleotide ribosomal RNA is filed under the name uncultured bacterium. RNAcentral's name for it is "partial 16S ribosomal RNA". The stretch from base 48 to 468 matches the Rfam family "Bacterial small subunit ribosomal RNA", at positions 38 to 507 of the family's 1533-position model. The record is from RNAcentral.
GGGGGGGGGGGGGGGGGGGGGGGGGGGGGGGGGGGGGGGGGGGGGGGGGCGGCGGGUGUGGGGUGGGCGGGGGGCGGGCGGGUGGGUGGCACGUGGGGAAGCUGCCCUGGACUUUGGGAGAGCUUCCGGGAGCUGGGGCUAAUACCGGAUAGGAGCUCCUGCUGCAUGGUGGGGGUUGGACAGUUUCGGCGGGUGGGGAUGGACUCGCGGCUUAUCAGCUUGUUGGUGGGGUAGUGGCUUACCAAGGCUUUGACGGGUAGCCGGCCUGAGAGGGUGACCGGCCACAUUGGGACGGAGAUACGGCCCAGACUCCUACGGGAGGCAGCAGUGGGGAAGAUUGCACAAUGGGCGGAAGCCUGAUGCAGCAACGCCGCGUGCGGGAUGACGGCCUUCGGGUUGUAAACCGCUUUCGCCUGUGACGAAGCGUGAGUGACGGUAAUGGGUAAAGAAGCACCGGCUAACUACGUG